Molecule: unclassified non-coding RNA, 229 nt
Filed under: Hevea brasiliensis (rubber tree)
Lineage: Eukaryota; Viridiplantae; Streptophyta; Magnoliopsida; Malpighiales; Euphorbiaceae
Source: RNAcentral
UUGGCGGUCGAAAGCGUGAAGCAGGCCGCAAUCGACAGGAAGUUCGCAACGAACUGACAAUUCUGAACGCUGAUGUUAUCCGCCGAAACCGGGAUGGUCGCGGUGUUCGCCGUGUCGAUAAUUCGGGCGGUGCGAUCCGAGGCCGAGACCCACAAUAGCCACGCCGGCGACGUUGAAGUUCAGCGCGGUCGCGGAAGAGACGGUCUCAGCGUGACCUGGUUUGAUGAAG